This is a non-coding RNA of Pelobates cultripes (western spadefoot toad), 370 nucleotides long. The record is from the annotation of a GenBank genome assembly. Lineage: Eukaryota; Metazoa; Chordata; Amphibia; Anura; Pelobatidae.
GGGGAUAUGUGAAAUGUCUGUGUCUUAUGGGUAAAAGGUGCCUUUAUGUAUUUUAAAGUGUUUUGUGUCUUUUUGCAACCAUGUGCUUAAUGGAGUCUUGUGUCUGUCCUGGGAGAUAAUUGAAUUACUCUCAAUUAUCUCCAGGAUAGAAGACUCUGAAACUGGUUUGGGCCGGGAAGCCAUGCUUCAUUUAGUCACAAAGGACUUUCCCUUAACUUUUGAACCCCUGGUCUGAUUCGUGCCAUUUUUUAAUAUGUUGUUCCCCUGAAUGGAUUGAUUAUGAAAAUGUAUGUUUUAUGUUUGUGACAUGUAUAUUUUAGAAGUUAUAAAUGUUGUGUAAAAACUGUAUUCCUCUGCCGGUGAUAAUGAG